UUGCUUGAACCCAGCGCGGGGAGGUUGCAGUGAUUUGAGAUUGCGUCACUGCACUCCAGCCUGGGCAAAAGAACAAGCCUCCAUCUCAAAAAAAAAAAAAAAAAGCUUUGGUGGUAUACUGAGGUCUAUACCUUUUCUUUACCUUUUCAAGAAGGCUUCUGAGCUCUAUGAUUUAGGAAGAAAGAUUCAUUCUCUCCAGCCCCAGAGAGACAGAAAGCCCAGGAGGUGGAAUGUUAGCCACUGGAGAACUUGGGGGGGAUUAUGCGGGUGAAGUGUGUUCUUGUAACUUUUCUGUAAGUGUAUAAUUGUUUCAAAAUAGAUUUUUUGAAAGCAUUCAUAAUUCAGAACUCAUUCUGUAAAAAUCUAAAAUAUACUAUUCUUUUACAAAAAUAAUUAA
Non-coding RNA from Chlorocebus sabaeus (green monkey), 397 nucleotides. Lineage: Eukaryota; Metazoa; Chordata; Mammalia; Primates; Cercopithecidae. The record is from RefSeq and is a predicted model, not a curated record.